UCUGGUGACUAUAGCAAGGAGAUCACACCUGUUCCCAUGCCGAACACAGAAGUUAAGCUCCUUAGCGUCGAUGGU
Molecule: ribosomal RNA, 75 nt
Filed under: Staphylococcus aureus
Lineage: Bacteria; Bacillati; Bacillota; Bacilli; Caryophanales; Staphylococcaceae
Source: RNAcentral